UGACGCUAAAGCUCGAAGGUGCGGGUAUCGAACAGGAUUAGAUACCCUGGUAGUCCGCACGGUAAACGAUGGAUGCCCGCUGUUGGCGAUACAAUGUCAGCGGCCAAGCGAAAGCGUUAAGCAUCCCACCUGGGGAGUACGCCGGCAACGGUGAAACUCAAAGGAAUUGACGGGGGCCCGCACAAGCGGAGGAACAUGUGGUUUAAUUCGAUGAUACGCGAGGAACCUUACCCGGGCUUGAACUGCAGCAGAACGAUUCAGAGAUGAAGAGGCCCUUCGGGGCUGCUGUGGAGGUGCUGCAUGGUUGUCGUCAGCUCGUGCCGUGAGGUGUCGGCUUAAGUGCCAUAACGAGCGCAACCCCUUUCAUUAGUUGCCAUCAGGUAAUGCUGGGCACUCUGGUGAUACUGCCACCGUAAGGUGUGAGGAAGGUGGGGAUGACGUCAAAUCAGCACGGCCCUUACGUCCGGGGCUACACACGUGUUACAAUGGGUGGUACAGAGAGUCAGUGGGUCGCAAGUCCCAUUCAAUCAUGAAAGCCAUCCUCAGUUCGGAUUGGGGUCUGCAACCCGACCCCAUGAAGCUGGAUUCGCUAGUAAUCGC
This 600-nucleotide ribosomal RNA is filed under the name uncultured bacterium. RNAcentral describes it as "bacterial SSU rRNA". It matches the Rfam family "Bacterial small subunit ribosomal RNA", at positions 741 to 1345 of the family's 1533-position model. The record is from RNAcentral.